AUCCUCCAAGGCUAAAUACUCCUGACUGACCGAUAGUGAACCAGUACCGUGAGGGAAAGGCGAAAAGAACCCCUGUGAGGGGAGUGAAAUAGAACCUGAAACCGUGUACGUACAAGCAGUAGGAGCCCACUUGUUGGGUGACUGCGUACCUUUUGUAUAAUGGGUCAGCGACUUAAUUUUAGUAGCAAGGUUAACCGUUUAGGGGAGCCGUAGGGAAACCGAGUCUUAACUGGGCGAAAUAGUUGCUAGGAUUAGACCCGAAACCGAGUGAUCUAGCCAUGGGCAGGUUGAAGGUGAGGUAACACUUACUGGAGGACCGAACCGACUAAUGUUGAAAAAUUAGCGGAUGACUUGUGGCUAGGGGUGAAAGGCCAAUCAAACUCGGAGAUAGCUGGUUCUCCCCGAAAGCUAUUUAGGUAGCGCCUCGGACGAAUACUACUGGGGGUAGAGCACUGUUAAGGCUAGGGGGUCAUCCCGACUUACCAACCCUUUGCAAACUCCGAAUACCAGUAAGUACUAUCCGGGAGACACACGGCGGGUGCUAACGUCCGUCGUGAAGAGGGAAACAACCCAGACCGCCAGCUAAGGUCCCAAAGUUAUAGCUAAGUGGGAAACGAUGUGGGAAGGCUCAGACAGCCAGGAUGUUGGCUUAGAAGCAGCCAUCAUUUAAAGAAAGCGUAAUAGCUCACUGGUCGAGUCGGCCUGCGCGGAAGAUUUAACGGGGCUAAGCUAUACACCGAAGCUGCGGCAAUG
RNAcentral lists this ribosomal RNA (753 nucleotides) under Photobacterium angustum. RNAcentral describes it as "bacterial LSU rRNA". It matches the Rfam family "Bacterial large subunit ribosomal RNA", at positions 455 to 1210 of the family's 2925-position model. The record is from RNAcentral. Lineage: Bacteria; Pseudomonadati; Pseudomonadota; Gammaproteobacteria; Vibrionales; Vibrionaceae.